AGGGAGGGGUGUGGUGUGUGGGAGAAAGAGCGAGGCAGAGAGAGAGAAGGGGGUGUUGGAAAGGGAAGUUUACUACUGUGGGGAGGAUGGGAGAGAGAGAAAAAUAGCCCAUUCCUUUAAAAGAAAGCAACAACAGCAAACACUCCCCGUCCCCCUUCCCCCGUCCCCAAUAGCAAUUGCUGACAAAGGAAGAAUGAAGCUUUUGCAUCUCAGGGUGGGAUGGACUGAGGAGUGUAACUUUCCCUGUUUCCCCUCAAUAACCCAUGCUUCCCUUCUUUCGUUUGCUUCUGCAGAAUCCACGAAGGAGAAAGUAUUUGUCUUGGAUGCUAUGAGAAGAAGCUUGGAUCGUACAAAAAGGAAAACAGAUCGAGUUCCUCGACUAAAUGGUAUAUCUGGGCUUGUUUUCCAAGAAAGAGUUUCAAGCUAAGCAGAUCCGUGUGGGCGCAAGAAGGAGGACGACACCGAAAUAAGACAGGUAAAGUCUUUAACUUUUCCUUGUUUGGGAAGUUGGAUGGGCCGAGGCGAGAGAGGGGGGCAAUGUCGAUCAGAGAAAACUAUAUUGGGGAGGGGGGAGGUGAGUCGUUUUGUAAGGUGGACUAUUUGGAGGAAGGAAGACGCAGAAGCUACUUAAUAUUCGGCCGCUAAAAAUAUUUUGCAUGCAAUUUAACUGGCCCUCGUAGUCGGUAGUUAUGAGAGUGAAAAGCCCUCGACAGAGAUUAUUUCCAUAGCUCCUAAAAUCAUCCCCUUCCAUCAAAAUUUAGGGCCCUUCCACACAGCCAUAUAACCCAGAAUAUCAAGGCAGAAAAUCCCAUAAUAUCUGCGUUGAACUAACGCCUCUUCCACACAGUUGAAUAAAAUCCCACAUUUUCUGCUUUGAACUGAAAUAUAUGACAGUGUGGACUCAGAUAACCCAGUUCCAAGCAUUUUCUGCCUUGAUAUUCUGGGUUAUAUGCUGUGUGGAAGGGCCCUGAGUUAUAUGAGUCCACGAUGCCAUAUAUUCCAGUUGAAAGAAGAAAAUGGUUUUUUUUAACUGUGUGAAAGGGUCACUAGAGUUAGCAAAUCACUCUGCCAUAUAUUCCAAUUCAAAGCAGAUAUUGUGGGUUAUCUGCCUUGAUAUUCUGUGUGGAGGGCCGGAUUGUGGUGGGAAAAAUAUGAACAGCACCUCCACUCUAUAUCAGCCUUGCAACCAUACUAUGGCCCUUUCUACACUGCCAUAUAAAAUCCAAAUUGUGGAAGGGCCCUAACCCAACCUUUCUUGCCCUUUUGCAAGUUUCACACACACACACACACUCAAAGUUCACUUAAGGAGGCCUCUGCUGUAGUGGGUUUGCAUAUUUCUAAUGAGUCUCUUGCAAAUUGGGUUUCAAACGCAGGCCCCUUCCACACUGCCAUACAAUCCAAAUUAACAAAUCAGAUAAUCCACAUUAUCUACCUUGAACUGGAUUAUGAAUCUACACUGCCAGAUAAUCCAAUUCAAAUCUGAUAAUCUGGAUUUUAUAUGGCAGUGUAGAAGGGGCCAUAGUAUGUGCAAGUUUGAUAUACAGUGGAGGUGCUGUUGUUCAUAUUUUCCCAACCCCAUUCCGGCCACCGGGACCUCAACUUCCAAACGAAUUUAAGAUCCGAGUCCCAGGGCCUCUACACACCCAGAAUAACCCAGAAUAUCAAGGUAAAAAAAUCCCACAAUAUCUGUUUUGAACUGGGUUACCUGAGUCCACACUGCGAUUUAUCCCAGUUCCAAGCAGAUAAUGUGGGAUUUUAUUCAGCUGUGUGCAAGGGGCCCCAGAUAUAUUGAUCAAGUGUUGCGAUGUGGUUUAUUUCUACCCUGGAAUGUUUCUCUAUCAUUCAAAACCUUAAGCGCAGAAAAAAGAUAACGAGGUUUCUGUUUCGAUUUGUUUAAAAUAAUGUUUUCUCCUCCGAGGAAGGCAUUGAUUGGAAAGAGUUUUGGCCUGGAUCUAUCCUGCCCUAUAUCCCAGGAUCUGAUCCCAGAUUAUCUGCUUUGUACUGGAUUAUAUAAAUCUCCACUGCUAGAUAAUCUGGUAUAAGAAAAUAGCCUGGGAUCAGAUUCUGGGAUAUAAAUAUAGGGCAAUGUAGAGCCAGCCUAUGAUAAACUUUGCGGACCUGGGGACUGGUUUGUCUUUGCCCCUGAAUUUAUGGGAGAUUGCAAGGGUCACAGGAUGCCUCUGAGUGGGUACCGAUCCGAUCCGGAAAAUUAAAGAAGAAAAGCAAAAAGUAAAAUUAACCUGAUCCCCAAGAGGAUCCUAGGGCCCUUCCACACAGCCCUAUAUCCCAGAAUAUCAAGGAAGAGAAUCCAAUAAUAUCUGGUUUGAACUGAGUUAUCUGAGUCCACACUGAGGCCCCUUCCACACAGAUGAAUAAAAUCCCACGUGUUUCUGCUUUGAACUGGAAUAUAUGGCAGUGUGCAUUCAAAUAACCCCAUUCAAAGCAGAGAUGGUGGAAUUUUCUGCCUUGAUAUCAUGGGUUAUAUGGCUACGAGGAAGGGCCCCUAGGCAUCUUAAGUGGAAAGAAAUUCCCACUAAGUUCAGUAGAGUUGACUCCCGGGAAGCGAGUGUGCUUUUGGCGAUUCAUUCUUGUUCAAAGUAUCACCCUGAGGUUUAUUUUUAUUAUUUUUAAAAUAGUUCAAGCGAGCUGAUUGUUGAAAUGCAUUUUCAAUGCUAUUUUUUUUCUCAAGAGACUUUUUGGAUGUUUUGUUUAUGCAUUUCCUUAGUUUUUUUAAGCAGAUGGCUAAGAGCCCUUCCACACAGCCAUACAACCCAGAAAUAUCAAGGCAGAAAAUCCCACAAUAGAUGCUUUGAACUGGGUUAUCAGAGUCCACACUGCCAUAUAUCCCAGUUCAAAGCUGAAAAUGUGGGAUUUUAUUCAGCUGUGCGGUAGGGGGCCUUAGUUCUGGGCAACGGUGUGGCUGGAAUAAACUAAUUGUUGGAACUUUACUUCAAUUCCUAAAGGUUCAUAAUCUCACAACAGAAGUCCUUCCCCGAAAUCCUGAAAGAGGAGUGGGUGCAAACAGCAAGAACCCGUCAUUCAGAACUGUUUCCUCUUCCUUUCGAAAACUGAAACCACCUUUAAAAUAAUGUAGGAUGCUUUAAAAAUGGUUUGUUGUUAGAAAAAGAGGCCUUAGAAAAUGGAAGCUCCUUCUGGUUUCCCAAAUCCUCUCCUCUCCCUUUGAGAAACUCGCAAGGUCUCGCAGCAUAUUAUAAUUCGCAAGUAAGUCAACAGAAUGGCUGUAUUGUUGAGUUGCUUUUAAAGAUCCCAAAAUAGAAAAUCCUUUGGAAAAAAAAAAAGUGGGAAAGAGGGGAGAGGAAAUUGGCUGGCGAUUCCAGCCAUUUGAAACCAGCCCACAUUGCUUGGAACAUUCGCUUUGAGAUUCAUAAAAUAUUUAAAACUCCAAGUCAACCUUUUUCCUAUUUAUUGCCCUGUAUAAUUCAACAUUAUCGCGUAUUAAUAAGCCAAUAAUGAUAAUCUCUAUAGGAAAAGCCUGCUAGUUGGGCCGCUUUUAUGGCCGCCCUUAUCCUUUCUAAUGACCUUUGGCUCGGCAGAGUAAUAACUCAUUAUGGAAUGAGCAAUUGUCUGGAGUGCCUUAAAUACCUCACAAUCUUUCUUUCUCACUCACUCUCUUCUCCUUUCUCUUUCUCCUCGCUACUCCCUGAACAGUUCCAAGAAGGGAUCUGUAUGGCAGGGAAUCCUCUUCUCAGGCCUCAGAGAAAGAAAGAGAACAAGCAAGACUCUCCAGUUUAACUUGCUGCUACUGAUACUCUGCAGUGCAAAAAUCCAAGGGUUCCUUGCUGUGGAGGUACUAUUUGUCUAAUUCUUCUGGAUAUUAUCUAUUUGUGCUCCCCUGGGUCUUUAGAAAACCCCAUCUCCAAAUAACUGCCUUGCUAUGUUUUACAAUUAAUAUUACUACUAGUAGUAAUGCUACCCGCACCUCUUACUACUAACACCCACAUUUUGCAAUCCUUCUUAUAUCAGCUGCAGCAGUUCCAGAAUUACUAAGAUCAUUAUGACCAGGGGUCCCCAAACUAAGGCCCAGGGGCGGAUGCGGCCCUCCAAGGUAAUUUACCUGGCCCCGCCCUCAUUUAUAAUGUAAUAUUUUUAUAUCAGUUUUAAUAAUAUAAUAUAUUGUAUAUACAUAUAAUAUUGAUAAUAAUAUUAUCAUUUUAUACAAUACAAUACUAACAAUAAUAUCAUAUAAUAAUAUUAAUUACAUGUUAUAUCUAUAUAUAUAAAUGAGUGAUGGCAUCACGGCGACUCACAAAACAACAAAACUACAGGCCUCCCAACCUCGAAAUUUGACCACACAACCCAUCAUCCAUGCCUCUAGGUUGAUACAACAAAAUAAAAGAAAAAUAAAGUCCUAAUUAGAGGGAAAGCAAUAAUUUUUUAAAUCCAAUUGCUGCCAGUUUAGAGGGCUAAUCUCUGCCCACUUGGUCUCCUAGCAACCAAGGGACAGCCAUGGUUCAGUUAGGGGACAGGCAGAUUUAGGCCUCAUUUAUGUUUCUUCCACAUAUUAUCUAAUUUGAACUGGAUUAUAUGGCAGUGUAGACUCAAGGCCCUUCCAUACAGCUAUAUAACCCAUUUACAAUCUUAUACUAUCUGCUUUCAACUAGAUUGUCUUGACUCCACACUGCCAUAUAAUCCACUUCAGUGUGCAUUUUAUACACUUGCGUAGAAGGGGCCUCAUAUAAUCCAGUUCUAUCAGAUAAUAUAAGAUUAUAAAUAUACAGUACAGUCUCACUUAUCCAACAUAAACAGGGUGUCAGAACAUUGGAUAAGUGAAUAUCUUGGAUAAUAAAAAGGGAUUCAGGAAAAGCCGAUUAAACAUCAAAUUAGGUAAUUCGCCACAGCAAUGCGUGGCCGGGCACAGCUAGUAUUAUAUAAAACAGUACAGUAUAGUGGUAUAGUUCAAUAUAGUAUAAUGCUAAUAUUGUGCUAUGCUAAUAAUAUAAUAUAUUGUAUGUACAUACAGCUGCUCUGAGUUCUCUUCGGGGUGAGAAGGGUGGGAUAUAAAUGUAGUAAAUAAAUGUAGCAAAUGAAUAAAUAAAUAAUUUUGGACUUAGGCUCGCCCAAAGUCUGAAAUGACUUGAAGACACACAACAACAACAACAAUCCUGAUUAACCUGACUAUCUCAUUGGCCAGAAGCAGGCCCACACUUCCUAUUAAAAUCCUGAUAGGUUUAUGUUGGUUAAAAUUAUUUUCAUUUUAAAAUAUUGUAUUGUUCUUUCAUUGUUAUUGUUUUGCACUACAAAUAAGAUAUGUGCAGUGUGCAUAGGAAUUUGUUCGGUUUUUCCCCCCAAAUGAUAAUUCAUCCCCUCAACAGUCUGAAGGAUUGUGGACUGGCCCUCUGCUUUAAAAUAGUCUGAUUAUGACUAUUGGUAUUAUUGUAAUAAUGGUACUAAACUUCUGCCCCUUUGCAACUACAGUAGAGUCUCACUUAUCCAAGCUAAACUGGCCGGGAGAACCUUGGAUAAGCGAAUAUCUUGGAUAAUAAGGAGAAAUUAAGGAAAAGCCUAUUAAACAUCAAAUUAGGUUAUGAUUUUACAAUUUAAGCACCAAAACAUCAUGUUAUACAACAAAUAUGACAGAAAAAGUAGUUCAAUAAACAGUAAUGUUAUGUUGUAAUUACUGUAUUUACGAAUUUAGCACCAAAAUAUCAUGAUAUAUUGAAAACAUUGACUACAAAAAUAGCUUGGAUAAUCCAGAAUCUUGGGUAAGUGAGACUCUACUGUAAUUGGAUAUGAAAAAACAACGGAGAACAGGCAGAGUGCAGUGAUUUGAGCUUUGGAUUAUGGGCCCCUUCCACACAGCUGAAUAAAACUCCACAUUAUCUGCUUUGAAUAUAUAGCAGUGUGGACUCAGGGCCCUUCCACACAGCCCUAUAUCCCAGAAUAUCAAGGCAGAAAAUCCCACAAUAUCUGCUUUGAACUGGGUUAUCUGAGUCCACACUCAGAUAAUGUGGGACUUUCUGCCUUGAUAUUCUGAGAUAUAGGGCUAUGUGGAAGGGCCCACAGAUAACCUGGUUCAAAUCAGAUAUUGUGGGAUUUUCUGCCUUGAUAUUCUGGGUUAUAUGGCUGUGUGAAAGGGCCCUACAACUCUGCAAAACAGGACUGAACUCCCCAUUCAGCCAUGGAAAUCCACUGGUUGACUUGGCAAGUCACACUCUCUCAGCAGGCCCAUUCUACACUGCCAUAUAAUACAGAUUAUCAAAUCAGAUAAUCCAGUUAAAAGCAGAUAAUUUGGAUUUUAUACAGCUGUAUAGAAGGAGCCUUAGAGAAAGGCAAGGGAAGAUGCACUCUGAUCAAAUCUUGCUGAGAGAAUCCAAUGAUAGCAUCACUUUAGGGUCAGAAAUAAUCUAGCACAAAACAAUAACAACAACAACCACUCAUGUACAGUAGAGUCUCACUUAUCCAACAUAAACGGGGCUGGCAGAAUGUUGGAUAAGCGUAUAUGUUGGAUAAUAAGGAGGGAUUAAAGAAAAGCCUAUUAAACAUCAAAUUAGGUUAUGAUUUCACAAAUUAAGCACCAAAACAUCAUGUUAUACAACAAAUUUGACAGAAAAGUAGUUCAAUACGCAGUAAUGCUAUGUACUAAUUACUGUAUUUAAGAAUUUAGCACCAGAAUAUCACGAUGUAUUGAAAACAUUGACUACAAAAAUGUGUUGGAUAAUCCAGAACGUUGGAUAAGUGAGACUCUACUGUACUUCCAAAUCCUGUUGGCUACCAAUAUUACUAGGACAACAACACAGACUAUCCCUCAGAACACAAAGGGCACCCUGCCACUUCCACAACCACAGUGAUCAAAGUAGUCUAUGUGUAGCAGCACAAUGAUUUCUCAUAUUUUCCCUCGAAAGGAGUCUCCAAGACACAAAGACACACAUGCUCAUCCUAUUGAAGUCCUUGUAAUGAAAUUUCUUUUGCUCAAAGUAGGACAAAGUACUCUAGCAAUGCUGAGAUCUAAACCCAAUCAUUGCUAGCUGGAAACUGCAGUUUUGGACUGAAGACCAAAAUAUAACAAAAUUAGUGGAAAGAUAGUAUAUAUUGCUCACUAUAUGGCAUAUUAGAUCUAUUAAUUGGCAUAACAGAAGAGUAACAAUGUCACAUUUGUUGAAACAAUGUUAACAGAGAGCCUUGUGACACCUUAAAGAUUAAAAAUUUUGGCAGAUAGAAGCACCACAUUAGAUACCUGAGGUAUUAUCUGGAGUUGUAAGUAUGUGUACACACACACAUGGCUGAGUCAAAGCAAACAAGGGCUCAGAGGGAUUUUUUUUUUUUGCUUUGCCUCACCUGUGUAUAAAAUGAGUGCUUAAAAAAAGAUUAACAGCAGAAUUUGUGUAUAAAGUGGUUCCUUGGAACCCACUAGAGUUUGGGUCCAAGAUACACAGCAAAAUCUGUGGGAUGCUCAAGUCCAAUUAUAUAUAAUGGUGAAAUGAAGGAGCAAUCCUUGUAUAAAAUGACAGAAUGUAUGUUUGCUUAUUGGAUUUAAAAAUAUAUCUUCAAGGUGUGGACCAUUGAACCUAUGAUGCAAGACCUGAAUCUCCUUAUAUUUUUCUCUCUUGGUGACUUUUGAAUUAAUUGUUUUUCAAUUGUAUUAAAGACAACUUUACAAGCAAA
This is a long non-coding RNA of Anolis carolinensis (green anole), 7623 nucleotides long. RefSeq lists it as uncharacterized. The transcript has 2 exons. The record is from RefSeq and is a predicted model, not a curated record. Lineage: Eukaryota; Metazoa; Chordata; Lepidosauria; Squamata; Anolidae.